Molecule: transfer RNA, 66 nt
Filed under: Candidatus Dormiibacterota bacterium
Lineage: Bacteria; Bacillati; Candidatus Dormiibacterota
Description: tRNA-Pro
Source: RNAcentral
CGGGGGAAGCUUCCUAUACGGUUCGGGACCGUGAGGCCCCGGGUUCGAAUCCCGGGCCCCCGACCA